UAAUACAUGCAAGUAGAACGCUGAAGCUUGGUGCUUGCACCGAGCGGAUGAGUUGCGAACGGGUGAGUAACGCGUAGGUAACCUGCCUGGUAGCGGGGGAUAACUAUUGGAAACGAUAGCUAAUACCGCAUAAGAGUAGAUGUUGCAUGACAUUUGCUUAAAAGGUGCAAUUGCAUCACUACCAGAUGGACCUGCGUUGUAUUAGCUAGUUGGUGAGGUAACGGCUCACCAAGGCAACGAUACAUAGCCGACCUGAGAGGGUGAUCGGCCACACUGGGACUGAGACACGGCCCAGACUCCUACGGGAGGCAGCAGUAGGGAGUCUUCGGCAAUGGACGAAAGUCUGACCGAGCAACGCCGCGUGAGUGAAGAAGGUUUUCGGAUCGUAAAGCUCUGUUGUAAGAGAAGAACGGGUGUGAGAGUGGAAAGUUCACAC
RNAcentral lists this ribosomal RNA (436 nucleotides) under Streptococcus sp. oral taxon C08. RNAcentral's name for it is "bacterial SSU rRNA". It matches the Rfam family "Bacterial small subunit ribosomal RNA", at positions 49 to 469 of the family's 1533-position model. Lineage: Bacteria; Bacillati; Bacillota; Bacilli; Lactobacillales; Streptococcaceae. The record is from RNAcentral.